UGUCUUAUAUUAAUUGUGAGUGAAUUCCUUUUACAGUUUGUGGACUUGUGGGUUUGUUGCAUCCGGUUUGGGCCUGAAUUUUUGCAUUGUGUAGAGCUAUUUGGAUGCUUAAUGGCAAUACUUGGAAGGUUAUAGUGUUUUAUCAUUUACGUUAGAAAUCUUUUUUGGAGUUGAGACCAUUCAUUGGGAAACUAUUUUGAAGUCGUAAUGUUUUCUUCAGGAAAAAUCUUGUCUUUCUUGGAUGACACCAAGUAAGAUUUUUGCUAUCUUUGGCUGAGGUCUCACGAGCACAGCUUUAAGGGGGAAAAGGAUGUCAUCAUAUUGUUCCAUGUGGAUGACACCACACAAUGUUUUGCAGUCAGAAACUGAUUAUUUGGUUGAAUGUUGUCCUCGAGGCUCUUUCAAGACCCUUAAUAAGUAGGAUCUAUUUCCUUGUAAUUUUUGUAUCACUUGCAGUA
Long non-coding RNA from Rosa chinensis, 458 nucleotides. RefSeq lists it as uncharacterized. The transcript is spliced from 5 exons. NCBI's taxonomy places the organism in Eukaryota, Viridiplantae, Streptophyta, Magnoliopsida, Rosales, Rosaceae. The record is from RefSeq and is a predicted model, not a curated record.